UGUUAAAUAAUAUAAUACAUUAUAUAUGACUGUUACUCAUAAAAUUUCUUUAGAAUUUAACAU
Molecule: transfer RNA, 63 nt
Filed under: Brachionus koreanus
Lineage: Eukaryota; Metazoa; Rotifera; Eurotatoria; Ploima; Brachionidae
Description: tRNA-Asn
Source: RNAcentral